GUGCCAGCCGCCGCGGUAAAACGUAGGACACAAGCGUUAUCCGGAGUUACUGGGCGUAAAGGGCGUGUAGGCGGACGUGUAAGUCUAUUCUGAAAGCUCCUGGCUAAACUGGGAGAGGCGAAUGGAGACUGCAUAUCUAGAGUAGGGAAGAGGAAAGUGGAAUUCCGCGUGUAGUGGUGAAAUGCGUAGAGAUGCGGAGGAACACCAGUGGCGAAAGCGACUUUCUGGUCCCAAACUGACGCUGAGGCGCGAAAGCAUGGGGAGCGAACGGGAUUAGAAACCCUUGUAGUCC
Molecule: ribosomal RNA, 292 nt
Filed under: uncultured bacterium
Lineage: Bacteria
Description: partial 16S ribosomal RNA
Rfam family: Bacterial small subunit ribosomal RNA
Source: RNAcentral